Ctenopharyngodon idella (grass carp) is the source of this 1269-nucleotide long non-coding RNA. RefSeq lists it as uncharacterized. The record is from RefSeq and is a predicted model, not a curated record. Lineage: Eukaryota; Metazoa; Chordata; Actinopteri; Cypriniformes; Xenocyprididae. The transcript is spliced from 3 exons.
UUUUACAGUAAAAAACAUGAUUUAUUAUGAUAACAGGGGAGCUCUAGUAAACACACAUAACUUAAUUCUCCAAAGUGGAUUUACAUAUUCUAAACCACAUCUUAAAGGUGCUUAUUAAAUGUUUAUUUAACAUCUGACAGGAACAUCUUCUUUAAGUAUUAUGGCUUAUGAGUGAUGGAUUAUGUAUGAGUGAGGUAUGUGUGCUAUUAUGUAGAAUUCACUGUUGUCAACACUGCUUACAUUACAUGAAUGAAAAUAACGUAAAUAAAUAAAUCUACAUAAAAUAAACAUAAGUUUAAUCUAUUUUAUUUGUCCAUUAGUACUGUUGGUAAAUUAAGGAACAUUUGUAUUGGAUAAAAAGAGAGUUAACACAUCAUAAACAUGUAAAUGUAGAUUUAGGCACAUAAAUCUCAGAGGAAACUUGAAUCUUGUCUGGAUGUUACAGGGACAGAUGAUCACACGUGUGUUUAUCCGGUGAUGAAGGAAUGCUGCCAUCAAAGGCUCUGAAUGAGGAUACUACAGAAAUGAAUAAGUCUAUUUAAAUCUAAAGUCUAGUUUAUUUUAAUUAUUGUAAUUUAAACAGAGUUAUUACAGCACUUUUCUGAAUCUUGAUUUCUGUGCAUUUGCUGCAGAGCUUUGUGGUGAAGCAGGACCUACAAGACAAGGUGACUGCAGCAAAAAAGAAAAACCUGAAACAAAAAUAUAAAGAUGUGAAAUGUCCUCAGACUGGUGUGAGCACUGAGGAUGGAGAGCCAUAGCAGGUCCUGGAAAUGGUGUAGAGCCAUGGACGAGACGCUCCAUCACUCCUCCUUCCAAGUGACUUGAUCAAGGACACACUGGAGGUGAUGCUGGAGAGGUUGAACCAGCAACCUUCUGCUGACCAGCUCAGUGGUUUAGCCCACCACACCACAAAAUCAUGCUAAUGGAGAGAACAUGAAUCUUUGCAGCAGCCAGAUUGUCCUGCACAUCUUCUCCCACUCUUGCUUCAAUGUUGUGGGGUUCAGGGGUCCAUCAUCAUCAUCUUCCUCAUCCUCUGGAUCAACGAUGUCCCCACUGAGAAGAGCAGCAGUGAGGGACAUGAUGGAUGAAGGUGUUCAUCAGCUGCUUCAUCAGAAUAAAGCUGCAGAAUGGGCACAGCUGUGUGAGAUGGCAGUAGGAUUGUAAAUACGUGAUUGUUAGAUCAAUACAUUUGAAUAAAGCUUUGUUUCAUGUGUUGUUGACUUGUAUAUGCGUUUAUUUAUUGUCAUUAUUACAUUAAUUCUUUUACUU